GAAGGAUUGCAUCCUUCCCCUCAAGGUCCUCCACUCACCCUUCAAUCUCAGCUAUUUGGGCCUCACAUCUCCGUAAUCGAUGGUCGGUGGAGAAAAUCGGAGAUGCAAUCCAUAGCCCUUGCAGGGAAUCAUCAACUGGAUGUGCUCCACCCAUUGCUGUGCCUCCUCCUGAGGUAGGAUUGGGAUCCAAGGUCGAGGAUGAUG
RNAcentral lists this long non-coding RNA (204 nucleotides) under Elaeis guineensis (African oil palm). Its description in RNAcentral is "long non-coding RNA (EGUI_LNC054105)". Lineage: Eukaryota; Viridiplantae; Streptophyta; Magnoliopsida; Arecales; Arecaceae. The record is from RNAcentral.